UGGGGAAUUUUGGACAAUGGGGGCAACCCUGAUCCAGCAAUGCCGCGUGUGUGAAGAAGGCCUUCGGGUUGUAAAGCACUUUUGUCCGGGAAGAAAUCGCACCUGAUAAUACCGGGUGUGGAUGACGGUACCGGAAGAAUAAGGACCGGCUAACUACGUGCCAGCAGCCGCGGUAAUACGUAGGGUCCAAGCGUUAAUCGGAAUUACUGGGCGUAAAGCGUGCGCAGGCGGUUGUGCAAGACCGAUGUGAAAUCCCCGGGCUUAACCUGGGAAUUGCAUUGGUGACUGCACGGCUAGAGUGUGUCAGAGGGGGGUAGAAUUCCACGUGUAGCAGUGAAAUGCGUAGAGAUGUGGAGGAAUACCGAUGGAGAAGGCAGCCCCCUGGGAUAACACUGACGCUCAUGCACGAAAGCGUGGGGAGCAAACAGG
This 429-nucleotide ribosomal RNA is filed under the name Acidobacteriota bacterium. RNAcentral's name for it is "Acidobacteria bacterium partial 16S ribosomal RNA". It matches the Rfam family "Bacterial small subunit ribosomal RNA", at positions 355 to 776 of the family's 1533-position model. The record is from RNAcentral. Lineage: Bacteria; Pseudomonadati; Acidobacteriota.